UACGAAGGUCCCAAGCGUUAUCCGGAUUUAUUGGGUUUAAAGGGUGCGUAGGCGGCCCUGUAAGUCAGUGGUGAAAUACUCCAGCUUAACUGGAGGGGUGCCAUUGAUACUGCAGGGCUUGAGUGGAGUCGAAGUAGGCGGAAUUGACGGUGUAGCGGUGAAAUGCUUAGAUAUCGUCAAGAACACCGAUAGUGAAGACAGCUUACUAGGCUUCUACUGACGCUGAGGCACGAAAGUGUGGGGAUCAAACAGG
RNAcentral lists this ribosomal RNA (253 nucleotides) under uncultured bacterium. Its description in RNAcentral is "partial 16S ribosomal RNA". It matches the Rfam family "Bacterial small subunit ribosomal RNA", at positions 524 to 776 of the family's 1533-position model. The record is from RNAcentral.